GCGGGUUUAGCUCAGUUGGGAGAGCGUCAGACUGAAGCCAAACUUCAAUCAUUAAAUCUGAAGGUCGUGUGUUCGAUCCACACAAACCGCA
RNAcentral lists this transfer RNA (91 nucleotides) under Dactylellina haptotyla CBS 200.50. It matches the Rfam family "tRNA". Rfam says of the family: Transfer RNA (tRNA) molecules are approximately 80 nucleotides in length. Lineage: Eukaryota; Fungi; Ascomycota; Orbiliomycetes; Orbiliales; Orbiliaceae. The record is from Rfam by way of RNAcentral.